CCGUUUCGAUUUGCUGCGGGCAAAUAAAAUGGAUAUGGGCAUCGAUCCCCCCUGCUGUCACAAUUUUCCCUUCUGCCGCGAUCACUUCUGUCGAUGCGCCGAUCACGAUGUCCACGCCGUCCAUUAGGAGCGGGUUGCCCGCUUUGCCAAUUGCCGCAAUCAUCCCAUCUUUAAUGCCGAUGUCCGCUUUAUAGAUACCUGUAUAAUCAAGCACAAUCGCAUUGGUCAGCACAAGAUCAACGGAUUCAGCUCGUGUGGCAAGCGGGUGCUGCCCCAUCCCAUCCCGA
RNAcentral lists this small RNA (287 nucleotides) under Domibacillus iocasae. RNAcentral's name for it is "5' ureB small RNA". It matches the Rfam family "5' ureB small RNA". The record is from Rfam by way of RNAcentral. Lineage: Bacteria; Bacillati; Bacillota; Bacilli; Caryophanales; Bacillaceae.